CCAGGCCGGAAGUCUUGAUCCAGCCACUCACCUGAGCCACGUGGAUGAACUUGAUGAAGACUUCUGCCCGGAGCUGCGGAGUGGGGCGGCUGAGAACCAUCAGCUGCACCCACUGGGAGAUGCCGUUGCACAAGGCAAUGGACCGCUCCAUGGUGGGGUUCUCCUUCACACAGCGAUUUACAAGGUUGCCUUCCAGAUACAACUAGGCUCAAUAAAUUGGUACUGAAAAGCUCGUGGUCCUGGCCCCAGCUUGGAUUCUCAGAAGCUGUUCUGACCUUGCUCUCAUCAGCCUCUGGGUUCCCAUUCCCUUGCCAGGAGCACAUGGCUCAUUCCAAGGAAGGCAUCCAGCAGCUUGCUGUCUGUGGUUUCAGAGCAAAGUGGAAGACUGUGCCUGUGGGGAGUUUGGAGGACUACGGUGAGGACCGGAUGCACCUGUGUACUCUUCCUGUUCUUGAUAAGCUGAAAUCCCCUUCAUCCUUCUCCGCUCCAGUCCAAGUUCUGCCUGGUUGCCCCAACAGCAAGGAUUAGGCCAGCACAGGUGCUGUCCAGAAGCACGGCCAAACAAGUACUAAGAAGCAACUGGCGGAGUCUUCCCAAAUACCCACACCGUGAAAUAACAGAAGCCCCAUCAGAGAAUUAUUGGUUAGCCACAACCUUGACCUUCUUUGGAAAGAUCCUGCGAAUGUGUGACUCAAUCGUAUCAGAUCUGCAAGCCUGGACAACACAUAACCCCAUUCCAGGGCAGGACAGAAGCACGGCAGUCAGUGUGUACUGGUAUAAAUAGCAAAACACUGGACACAGCUUUACCACAAAUACACUUCUCACAGUGAAAGUUCUUCUUUGCCUAUAAUUCUCUGCAAUAAACAAUUCUGUACAAAAAAAA
This is a non-coding RNA of Heterocephalus glaber (naked mole-rat), 883 nucleotides long. The record is from RefSeq and is a predicted model, not a curated record. Lineage: Eukaryota; Metazoa; Chordata; Mammalia; Rodentia; Bathyergidae.